GGACUGCUGAGGAGUCCCACAAUGGGACGAGACGGCCGUUCAGUGC
This 46-nucleotide non-coding RNA is filed under the name Schistosoma haematobium. Lineage: Eukaryota; Metazoa; Platyhelminthes; Trematoda; Strigeidida; Schistosomatidae. The record is from RNAcentral.